Molecule: ribosomal RNA, 253 nt
Filed under: uncultured bacterium
Lineage: Bacteria
Description: partial 16S ribosomal RNA
Rfam family: Bacterial small subunit ribosomal RNA
Source: RNAcentral
GACGGAGGAUGCAAGUGUUAUCCGGAAUCACUGGGCGUAAAGCGUCUGUAGGUGGUUUAAAAAGUCUACUGUUAAAAAUUGAAGCUUAACUUCAAAGAUGCCGUAGAAACUUUUAAACUCGAGGAUGGUAGGGGUAGAGGGAAUUUCCAGUGGAGCGGUGAAAUGCGUAGAUCUUGGAAAGACCACCAAUGGCGAAGGCACUCUACUGGGCCAUUACUGACACUAAGAGACGAAAGCUAGGGGAGCAAAUGGG